UGCUUAACACNUGCAGUCGAACGGUAAGGCCCCUUCGGGGGUACACGAGUGGCGAACGGGUGAGUAACACGUGGGUGAUCUGCCCUGCACUCUGGGAUAAGCCUGGGAAACUGGGUCUAAUACCGGAUAUGAGCUCCUGUCGCAUGGCGGGGGUUGGAAAGGUUUACUGGUGCAGGAUGGGCCCGCGGCCUAUCAGCUUGUUGGUGGGGUAAUGGCCUACCAAGGCGACGACGGGUAGCCGGCCUGAGAGGGCGACCGGCCACACUGGGACUGAGACACGGCCCAGACUCCUACGGGAGGCAGCAGUGGGGAAUAUUGCACAAUGGGCGAAAGCCUGAUGCAGCGACGCCGCGUGAGGGAUGACGGCCUUCGGGUUGUAAACCUCUUUCAGCAGGGACGAAGCGAGAGUGACGGUACCUGCAGAAGAAGCACCGGCCAACUACGUGCCAGCAGCCGCGGUAAUACGUAGGGUGCGAGCGUUGUCCGGAAUUACUGGGCGUAAAGAGCUCGUAGGCGGUUUGUCGCGUCGUCCGUGAAAACUUGGGGCUCAACCCCAAGCUUGCGGGCGAUACGGGCAGACUUGAGUACUGCAGGGGAGACUGGAAUUCCUGGUGUAGCGGUGAAAUGCGCAGAUAUCAGGAGGAACACCGGUGGCGAAGGCGGGUCUCUGGGCAGUAACUGACGCUGAGGAGCGAAAGCGUGGGUAGCGAACAGGAUUAGAUACCCUGGUAGUCCACGCCGUAACGGUGGGCGCUAGGUGUGGGUUUCCUUCCACGGGAUCCGUGCCGUAGCUAACGCAUUAAGCGCCCCGCCUGGGGAGUANGGNCGCAAGGCUAAAACUC
Molecule: ribosomal RNA, 842 nt
Filed under: Rhodococcus (subgen. Prescottella) equi
Lineage: Bacteria; Bacillati; Actinomycetota; Actinomycetes; Mycobacteriales; Nocardiaceae
Description: Prescottella equi bacterial SSU rRNA
Rfam family: Bacterial small subunit ribosomal RNA
Source: RNAcentral